Molecule: long non-coding RNA, 285 nt
Organism: Pteropus alecto (black flying fox)
Lineage: Eukaryota; Metazoa; Chordata; Mammalia; Chiroptera; Pteropodidae
Exons: 2
Source: RefSeq, a predicted model, not a curated record
CUCUAGGGAAGCCCCUUCGAUGUGCAGCUGGCGCCGACCAGAUCGGCUUGAAGAGAAGCUGAUUGGGCCACCACGCCUGGCAAGAACAAAAAGUAGACACGUCUAGUGUGGAGUGAGGAUGGGAGGAAGGCUGAUGGCGCCAGGUCCCGCGAGGAGCUCCUACCCUGCCUUCUAAUGGAGGCUGGGACCAUUCCUCACUAUGGACGUCUGAACAUGGAUGGACACUUGACAUGGCUCUUAAGCCUUGUGUGUUUGUAUGGUCCACUAGUAAAUGGGAAAAAGAGA